Molecule: ribosomal RNA, 1101 nt
Filed under: Bulinus tropicus
Lineage: Eukaryota; Metazoa; Mollusca; Gastropoda; Planorbidae
Description: SSU rRNA
Rfam family: Eukaryotic small subunit ribosomal RNA
Source: RNAcentral
UGCAUGUCUAAGUUCACACUGUAGCACGGUGAAACCGCGAAUGGCUCAUUAAAUCAGUCGAGGUUUACUAGAUGAAAAGUAUCCUACUUGGAUAACUGUGGCAAUUCUAGAGCUAAUACAUGCAAUCAAGCUCCGACCCUCGCGGAAAGAGCGCUUUUAUUAGUUCAAAACCAAUCGCCGUUCGCCCUUCGCGGGGUGGCGGCGUCCCGAUUGGUGACUCUGGAUAACUUUGUGCUGAUCGCAUGGCCUUUGCGCCGGCGACGCAUCUUUCAAAUGUCUGCCCUAUCAAAUGUCGAUGGUACGUGAUAUGCCUACCAUGUUUGUAACGGGUAACGGGGAAUCAGGGUUCGAUUCCGGAGAGGGAGCAUGAGAAACGGCUACCACAUCCAAGGAAGGCAGCAGGCGCGCAACUUACCCACUCCCGGCACGGGGAGGUAGUGACGAAAAAUAACAAUACGGGACUCUUUCGAGGCCCCGUAAUUGGAAUGAGUACACUUUAAACCCUUUAACGAGGAUCAAUUGGAGGGCAAGUCUGGUGCCAGCAGCCGCGGUAAUUCCAGCUCCAAUAGCGUAUAUUAAAGUUGUUGCAGUUAAAAAGCUCGUAGUUGGAUCUCAGGCGCAGGCGGGCGGUCCGGCUCGCGCCGGCUCACUGCCCGUUGUCUCCUGCCCUACCCGUCUGCCGGCUCUCUCCCGCGGGUGCUCUUCGCUGAGCGUCCCGGGUGGCCGGCGCGUUUACUUUGAAAAAAUUAGAGUGUUCAAAGCAGGCCGAGCUGCCUGAAUAAUGGUGCAUGGAAUAAUGGAAUAGGACCUCGGUUCUAUUUUGUUGGUUUUCGGAACUGGAGGUAAUGAUUAACAGGGACAAACGGGGGCAUUCGUAUUGCGGCGUUAGAGGUGAAAUUCUUGGAUCGCCGCAAGACGAACUACUGCGAAAGCAUUUGUCAAGAAUGUUUUCAUUAGUCAAGAACGAAAGUCAGAGGCGCGAAGACGAUCAGAUACCGUCGUAGUUCUGACCAUAAACUAUGCCACCUGGCCAUCCGCAGGAGUUGCUUCGAUGACUCUGCGGGCGGCCUCCGGGAAACCAAAGGUUUUGGGUUCCGGGGG